GACGGAGGAGGCAAGCGUUAUCCGGAAUUAUUGGGCGUAAAGCGUCCGCAGGCGGUUAGUUUAGUCUGUUGUCAAAGUUCACAGCUCAACUGUGGGAGGGCAAUGGAAACUGAUUUACUUUAGUGUGGUAGGGGUAGAGGGAAUUCCCGGUGUAGCGGUGAAAUGCGUAGAUAUCGGGAAGAACACCAGUGGCGAAGGCUCGCUACUUGGCCAUAACUGACGCUUAGGGACGAAAGCUAGGGGAGCGAAAGGG
This 253-nucleotide ribosomal RNA is filed under the name uncultured bacterium. RNAcentral's name for it is "partial 16S ribosomal RNA". It matches the Rfam family "Bacterial small subunit ribosomal RNA", at positions 524 to 776 of the family's 1533-position model. The record is from RNAcentral.